RNAcentral lists this ribosomal RNA (465 nucleotides) under Salmonella enterica. Its description in RNAcentral is "bacterial SSU rRNA". It matches the Rfam family "Bacterial small subunit ribosomal RNA", at positions 1050 to 1515 of the family's 1533-position model. Lineage: Bacteria; Pseudomonadati; Pseudomonadota; Gammaproteobacteria; Enterobacterales; Enterobacteriaceae. RNAcentral also lists the same sequence under 5 other names. The record is from RNAcentral.
UGUCGUCAGCUCGUGUUGUGAAAUGUUGGGUUAAGUCCCGCAACGAGCGCAACCCUUAUCCUUUGUUGCCAGCGAUUCGGUCGGGAACUCAAAGGAGACUGCCAGUGAUAAACUGGAGGAAGGUGGGGAUGACGUCAAGUCAUCAUGGCCCUUACGACCAGGGCUACACACGUGCUACAAUGGCGCAUACAAAGAGAAGCGACCUCGCGAGAGCAAGCGGACCUCAUAAAGUGCGUCGUAGUCCGGAUUGGAGUCUGCAACUCGACUCCAUGAAGUCGGAAUCGCUAGUAAUCGUGGAUCAGAAUGCCACGGUGAAUACGUUCCCGGGCCUUGUACACACCGCCCGUCACACCAUGGGAGUGGGUUGCAAAAGAAGUAGGUAGCUUAACCUUCGGGAGGGCGCUUACCACUUUGUGAUUCAUGACUGGGGUGAAGUCGUAACAAGGUAACCGUAGGGGAACCUGC